UCCGGUUUGUCACCGGCAGUCUGAAGUGAGUCCCCAACUUAAUGCUGGCAACACUUCACGGGGGUUGCGCUCGUUGCGGGACUUAACCCGACAUCUCACGACACGAGCUGACGACAACCAUGCACCACCUGUGAACCGGCCCCAAAGGGGAAACCACAUUUCUGCGGCGAUCCGGUCCAUGUCAAGCCUUGGUAAGGUUCUUCGCGUUGCAUCGAAUUAAUCCGCAUGCUCCGCCGCUUGUGCGGGCCCCCGUCAAUUCCUUUGAGUUUUAGCCUUGCGGCCGUACUCCCCAGGCGGGGCACUUAAUGCGUUAGCUACGGCACGGACGACGUGGAAUGCCGCCCACACCUAGUGCCCACCGUUUACGGCGUGGACUAC
This 378-nucleotide unclassified non-coding RNA is filed under the name uncultured Actinomycetes bacterium. RNAcentral describes it as "uncultured actinobacterium contains 16S-23S intergenic spacer region". The record is from RNAcentral. Lineage: Bacteria; Bacillati; Actinomycetota; Actinomycetes.